This 300-nucleotide ribosomal RNA is filed under the name uncultured bacterium. RNAcentral's name for it is "bacterial SSU rRNA". It matches the Rfam family "Bacterial small subunit ribosomal RNA", at positions 191 to 478 of the family's 1533-position model. The record is from RNAcentral.
GGUUCCGUUGUGAAAGGCGCUGUAAGGCGCCACUAAAAGAUGAGGGUGCGGAACAUUAGUUAGUUGGUGAGGUAAUGGCCCACCAAGACUAUGAUGUUUAGCCGGGUCGAGAGACUGAACGGCCACAUUGGGACUGAGAUACGGCCCAAACUCCUACGGGAGGCAGCAGUAGGGAAUAUUCCACAAUGAGCGAAAGCUUGAUGGAGCGACACAGCGUGCACGAUGAAGGUCUUCGGAUUGUAAAGUGCUGUUAUAAGGGAAGAACAUUUGCAAUAGGAAAUGAUUGCAGACUGACGGUAC